Molecule: ribosomal RNA, 412 nt
Filed under: uncultured microorganism
Description: bacterial SSU rRNA
Rfam family: Archaeal small subunit ribosomal RNA
Source: RNAcentral
GUGCAGCAGGCGCGAAACCUCCGCAAUACACGAAAGUGUGACGGGGCCAUCCCGAGUGCCGUCCGCUGAGGACGGCUUUUCCCCAGUGUACACAGCUGGGGGAAUAAGGAGAGGGCAAGCCUGGUGUCAGCCGCCGCGGUAAUACCAGCUCUCCGAGUGGUGGGGACGCUUAUUGGGCCUAAAGCAUCCGUAGCCGGCUGGGCAAGUCCUCCGUUAAAUCCAACGAUUCAAUCGUUGGGCUGCGGGGGAUACUGUCCAGCUUGGGGGCGGGAGAGGCCGACGGUAUUCCCGGGGUAGGGUGAAAUCCUAUAAUCCCGGGAGGACCACCAGUGGCGAAGGCUGUCGGCUAGAACGCGCCCGACGGUGAGGGAUGAAAGCUGGGGGAGCGAACCGGAUUAGAUACCCGGGUAGU